GGUUGGCGGGGUAACGGCCCACCAAGGCGACGAUCAGUAGGGGUUCUGAGAGGAAGGUCCCCCACAUUGGAACUGAGACACGGUCCAAACUCCUACGGGAGGCAGCAGUGAGGAAUAUUGGUCAAUGGGCGAGAGCCUGAACCAGCCAAGUAGCGUGCAGGAUGACGGCCCUAUGGGUUGUAAACUGCUUUUAUGCGGGGAUAAAGUGAGGGACGUGUCCUUCAUUGCAGGUACCGCAUGAAUAAGGACCGGCUAAUUCCGUGCCAGCAGCCGCGGUAAUACGGAAGGUCCGGGCGUUAUCCGGAUUUAUUGGGUUUAAAGGGAGCGUAGGCCGUGGAUUAAGCGUGUUGUGAAAUGCAGGUGCUCAACGUCUGCACUGCAGCGCGAACUGGUCCACUUGAGUGUGCACAACGCAGGCGGAAUUCGUCGUGUAGCGGUGAAAUGCUUAGAUAUGACGAAGAACUCCGAUUGCGAAGGCAGCUUGCGGGAGCACAACUGACGCUGAAGCUCGAAAGUGCGGGUAUCGAACAGGAUUAGAUACCCUGGUAGUCCGCACGGUAAACGAUGGAUGCCCGUUGUCAGGCUGUUUCAGCCUGGUGACCAAGCGAAAGCAUUAAGCAUCCCACCUGGGGA
This 633-nucleotide ribosomal RNA is filed under the name uncultured Prevotella sp. Its description in RNAcentral is "bacterial SSU rRNA". It matches the Rfam family "Bacterial small subunit ribosomal RNA", at positions 247 to 879 of the family's 1533-position model. Lineage: Bacteria; Pseudomonadati; Bacteroidota; Bacteroidia; Bacteroidales; Prevotellaceae. The record is from RNAcentral.